Molecule: transfer RNA, 68 nt
Filed under: Pachydactylus capensis
Lineage: Eukaryota; Metazoa; Chordata; Lepidosauria; Squamata; Gekkonidae
Description: tRNA-Trp
Source: RNAcentral
GAAGUUUAAGUUAACUUAAACCCAGGACCUUCAAAGUCCUAGAUAAGAGGCUAACCCCUUAACUUCUG